UAUAAACUUCGAAAGCAUAAAUGAAUUGGAUAUAGUAUUAAUAGAUUGAUGCUUAAGGAAUGAAAUGUUUUCAGGAGUAUAACCCGCUCAAAACGCCUUUUCUAUUUUAAAGAUAUAUAUUUACAUUAUUUACAAACAGUUUGGAGGCGUGAGUAUUAAAAGUAUGAAUGAGUAUGAGUAUGAAAAAGUAUGAGUAUGAAAAAGUAUGAAUGAAAAAUUAUAAUAUUAGAGAGAAAAAUUUGCGGUGAGGAGCUUUUAAGGAUUCAUUCAUAAUGAUGCUCCAAAGGCAAUACUAGCUCUUCAAGGCUAAUGCAAUACCAUAAUUAUUACCGAAGGAAAGUAAUAUAUUUAUAGCAAUUACUCAACUCAGGCUCUGAAACCACAGAGGACAUUACAUUACUCCCUAUUUUUACGAGACCUGACAUCAUUAGCGUGACGUCAUGAGAGAAACGUAGACCUGAAUUCUCACCUGCAAUUCUUUUAUCCUGCUUUUAAGAGAACAUUGUCGGGUGAAGACAACUCCAUUUCAUUCCGGAAUUCAGGCUCAUGGUGAUUGGCUUUUUGCGUCACGUGGCUAUUUUCAACCAUCCACAGAGGAACGAUUUUUCACUUGCAAUUCUUCUAUAGCUAGCCUGCUUUCAGGAAAUAAAUGUCGUGCGAAGACAAUUCUAUGUUAGGACGAAAUUCUGACGCGUGAUGAUUGGUCCUUUGCGUUACUUGACUAUUUUCUGCCAUCCACAGAAGGACGAAAUUCAAUUUUCGCUGUCAAUAACGAGGAAAUGAAGUAAUUUUCAAGGAAAAACAUUUUUACUUUCACCUUUUCUUCUUCUUCUUUUGUAAUAAAAUGCAUAAGUAAUAUAUUUGUAAACUUAAUUUUGCUAUCAAAUAAAUAAUAGAGUUGUCCAAGCCUGAGGCUGAACACUGAGUGGAAUAAAUUAAUUAUCGUUU
Non-coding RNA from Parasteatoda tepidariorum (common house spider), 948 nucleotides. The record is from RefSeq and is a predicted model, not a curated record. NCBI's taxonomy places the organism in Eukaryota, Metazoa, Arthropoda, Arachnida, Araneae, Theridiidae.